AUCUAUGGCCAUACCACCCUGAACGCGCCGGAUCUUGUCUGAUCUCGGAAGCUAAGCAGGGCUGGGCCUGGUUAGUACUUGGAUGGGAGACAUGGGUUUAAACCAUGGGUCGGGAAGAUC
Molecule: ribosomal RNA, 120 nt
Organism: Capra hircus (goat)
Lineage: Eukaryota; Metazoa; Chordata; Mammalia; Artiodactyla; Bovidae
Source: Ensembl